Molecule: long non-coding RNA, 828 nt
Filed under: Equus caballus (horse)
Lineage: Eukaryota; Metazoa; Chordata; Mammalia; Perissodactyla; Equidae
Description: lncRNA (ENSECAG00000060085.1)
Source: RNAcentral
CUUCCCAUGGGGACAAAAGAAUGAUCUCUUCAGGACGACAUUUCUUUCUCUCCCGAUUGUUAUAACAGACGUGAUACAUGCAAAAUGCCUGGCCCAGAAUAGGAGCACGUGACGGUCCUGUAAGUUGGUUCACUCAAAAUCUAUUCUCCAACAUCUCCUUCUUGGCCUUCCUCUACUAGAGAAGAGAGAAGAGGAAAUGAUACUCAAGCUUCCAGCUCCCCUGUACUUAGGGGUGGCCACAAAACCCAGCUACGGCCAAUGAGAGGAAGGUAGAAGUCCUUGACUUUUCCAAAUCUAAAAGCAGAGCUUCUGAGCAGCAAGUCCUUACUCCUCUGUUCUUCCCUCAUACCUUCUUGCCUGGAACUCAACUUGAGGGUAGAGGUAGAGCAGCCAUCUUGUAGUCAUGAGGUAACGAGCACAGAUCAGAAGUGAAGAAUGAUGGGGUAGCAAGACAAAAAGUACUGAGUGCUUAAUGACAUCACUGAGCCACUAUUUUAGCCCAUGGCUACCUGCCCAGAAAUUUAUUGUUGUGUGAGACAACCGCCUUCCUGGUAUGAGCCAAUGUUUGUUGGGGUUUCUGCUAUGUGAAGCAAAUGCAAUCAAUAACAACAGCUAUCAUCACCAUCAUCAUCCCCACCACCAUCACCGCUAUCAUCACCAUCUCUGCUCUCCUGCAUCUGCAACAACCUCCAGCUCGCAGCUUUAGAUUUUAUUAUCUAAUUGGGAGCCAAUUAAGACUUACUAAAUGAACCUCUGAAGUGUCAUUUCCCAGGGAGUAUUCCAAGAAACAUCGGUUCUUCCAGAUAUUAAUAGAUGUUCUGAGAAAAG